This is a long non-coding RNA of Camponotus floridanus (Florida carpenter ant), 395 nucleotides long. RefSeq lists it as uncharacterized. The record is from RefSeq and is a predicted model, not a curated record. Lineage: Eukaryota; Metazoa; Arthropoda; Insecta; Hymenoptera; Formicidae. The transcript has 3 exons.
UGUAAAUAUAUAUUAACGUACGAGUGAGAGUGAUAAGUUUGAACAAACUCUCGCGAGCAGCACUACUGAGAAAAUAUUUUCAACAAAAUGUCAUGAAAAGCGAAGCAAAGUCAAGUCAGUCGUAGAAUUUGGUGGUUGAGAGCAAGUACAUGUACGAUCGGAACGAUAAAAAUCCUCAUCAUAUUAGCAAGCAUCAUAAAGAGAUAUUAAGAUGAGUGAAACGGCAAAAAUAAAAUGCGGAAUUUUGACCGUAUAUAACGGAAAAAAUGCACAGGAAGAUUUAACAGCAUAUAGUACAGAGAUGAGCGGUUUGAUAGAUUAUAUUAAAAAUACAAUAAAGCUAAAAUGUGACGGAGAAAUAAUUGAUACAUUGCUACUAUUUAAUAACAUGAUGG